RNAcentral lists this unclassified non-coding RNA (320 nucleotides) under Hevea brasiliensis (rubber tree). Lineage: Eukaryota; Viridiplantae; Streptophyta; Magnoliopsida; Malpighiales; Euphorbiaceae. The record is from RNAcentral.
CGGAAAAGCUAGAAUCGGGGAAGUAGUGCAUUGGAAAUAAACUGGAGAAGGAAAAGUGAAGUGUGAAGGUGACUUCCUAUUACUGCCUAUAUGUAGGGCCAUGACAUUUAUUGCGGAACUCGAAGUGGGCUCAUCGAUAACCGAAGAAUUUAUUGCUUUGACCGAUACAGGUCAGAUUGAGCAGGAGGUUGGAAAAAUAGUGAGAUCGGGAAAUUAAAAAGACUGGAUGCAAAAGAAGAUAGAGAUUGGAAUAAUAAUCUUAGGAUGAGUCAGUCACAACAAGAUCGGAAGAAACAGGGGACGACCUAUCGAGAUCGGAG